This 3215-nucleotide long non-coding RNA is filed under the name Salmo salar (Atlantic salmon). Its description in RNAcentral is "lncRNA (ENSSSAG00000102238.1)". Lineage: Eukaryota; Metazoa; Chordata; Actinopteri; Salmoniformes; Salmonidae. The record is from RNAcentral.
GAAAGUUUCCUCUCACAACCUCUACAAGCCAGAAUGUUGAAUAAAAUUAUAUUUUAACAUUACCGGUUGUCUGUGCGGUUGUGAGAGGAAACUUCCCUGAUCCAAACGAUCAUUUACGCCCGAUGCUGAAUUUAAUGAAAUUCAAAUGUCAGGUCUCCAGGCUAAGGCUGGGCCGGCACCAGAACGAAUCAGUUGGCGGCCAUUUGAUUUCCAUAGGGGGCAUGUUUUUUUUUCAUGGGACCUCCUUGAACCGCUGGGCCUUGAGGGACCCCCCCGUCCGUGUCCCCUCACUCACCCAUUCUCCCCAUCAUACUUUACUUCAUUUAUUUGAUCUGUUGUGAUAAGUGUGAAAUUAGUUUUGGUAUAGUUUAGGUUCAGUUGAGGGAAUUAUCAGGGUGAUUAUCGACUGGGCAUGGCACCUUCAACUAUUGGGAGGGGCGCAGGCCCUACCGUCGGGAGGAAAGGCAACGGGGAAAACCACUUAAAACGACAUGUCCACCUAAAAAUGGUUAUAAUACCAGUUCUGUUUGUGAUAUUAUGAUUCUAUCAACGACAGUGUGUUUUAUAGACUUAAGGAACAGCCAAGGAUGGAGAGGGGAAUGACUUUAAAAAUGGCAGAGUAAUAAAAUGUUUAAAUUCAUGAACAGUCCAAAUGACUGCUUUAGCAGUUCUAGUGUUGGUUUAUAGUAAAGACAAUUUAAACUGUAAAAAUGUAUUACCUUUUAAUGUGGCAUGAACACAAACAGUCUUCCUUUCAUCUGAUUGUCAAACAAUAUCUUCGCACGUUCGUCCAAAAAUAAUUCCAGCAUCCGAACAGUGUACCCGCCAACUUUCCUUAAAUUUGCAAGUGGCUGAAACUACCAUUUCACCCGAGAAAGCAUCCGAGCAAGUGGAAAAGCACCCCCGUCUUACUAUAUGUAGCCCAUGUAUCGGAUGCUGUCUAGCCAAAAAGAGUAUGACAUGCUAUAGUCCUUUUGGGCUAAACAUACAUAUGGAGACAGAGGUAUGGUAGGGCGGGCUAAGGGAUGGCACAGACUAUCUAUUAUAUUGAUCAGAUGCUCUAGUGGCCACUGUAACAAUGAAAAUAAAUAUCCUCAAAAAUCUAAGGCAGUCAGGAGGCGGCAAGAUCAGGACGAGCAAAGAUCAGGUGGGACCAUUCUAGCCAAUGAGAGGGCAGAUAUGGGUGUGAAUAAGAGGCACAAUGGUUUCCACUAGUUACACCAGCCACAAAGUCAAAAUUGGCUAUAUCAAAAAAAAGUUUCAUACAUUUUGAUAAGGUUGUCAGUGUGGCCAAGGUAAGGGCUAGACUUUAAAAUCACAUUUUAAGAAGAGAAAUUGUAGACCUAGGCAGGGAUUAUGACUUUGUGGCUGUAACUAGUGACGACCAGGCACAGCUCAAAGUUGCAGGGAUGUCACGUGUCCUACUUAUAUCAACCUAAUCAUUACGAAACUUGAUCCCAAAUAUCCCUCUCGCUUCGCCUCUUCCUCUUUGGGGACGGACACCCAACUCCAAUAAUCAUGGUCUUCAGUUUAGAACGUAGCCCAAAGGCUGUCAGAUGGCGAUACUGAUGGUUUCAUCUUACCAUCCCAAACGCAUUGUAUGCAGCCGCAAUAGACUUGUAUCCCCGUGGACCGGUUCAUACCUAAAACAGUCUUAAUUCAUCUGCAAAGGCAUGAGUUAUAGAUCUAUCACUCUCAUUGUUCCAUCAUUCUCAUUGAAAGCAAGCAUAAGAAGCGGUAGAUCUGUUCUAUGUGAGCUAUUUCUAUGUUUCCCAUGCUUUAGUUUUGUUUUUGCGUCUUGUACUUUUGUACACCAGCUACAAACAACUGUAAAUACCAGUGGUGGGAAAAGUACCCAAUUGUCAUCCUUGAGUAAAAGUAAAGAUUAACCUCUACGGGAUCGGUCCUGAGCUACAGGCAGUUAGAUUUGGGUAUCUCAUUUUAGGCGAAAAUUGGAGAAAAAAAAGACUCGGAUCCUUUUAAUAGAAAAUUACUCAAGUAAAAGUCACACAGUAAAAUACUACUUGAGUAAAAGUCCAAAACCAUUUGAUUUUAAAUAUACUUAAGUAUCAAAAGUAAGUCAUUUCAAAUUGCUUACAUUAAGCAAACCAGACACCACAUUUUUUUUGUUGCAAAUUGUUUACUGAUAGUUAGGGGUAGGGGCGCAACUUUGGUUAUAGAAGUGGGGGAGCUAAAUAUUAUUUUUUAAGGACAACAAUGUCAAGGUAUUGGAUUGGCCAUCACAAAGCCCUGACCUCAAUCCCAUAGAAAAUGUGUGGGCAGAACUGAAAAAGCGUGUGCGAGCAAGGAGGCCUACAAACCUGACUCAGUUACACCAGCUCUGUCAGGAGGAAUGGGCCAAAAAUUCACCCAAAUUAUUGUGGGAAGCUUGUGGAAGGCUACCCGAAACGUUUGACCCAAUAAACAAUUUAAAGGCAAUGCUACCAAAUACAAAUUGAGUGUAUGUAAACUUCUGACCCAGUGGGAACGUGAUGAAAGAAAUAAAUGCUGAAAUAAAUCACUCCACAAUCAUUCUGACAUUUCACAACUUAAAAUAAAGUGGUGAUCCUAACUGACCUAAGACAGGGAAUUUUUACUAGGACUAAAUGUCAGGAAUUGUGAAAAACUGAGUUUAAAUGUAUUUGGCUAAGGUGUAUGUAAACUUCUGACUAACUGUAUAAUUUUUGUCCAAAAGGAAAAGGCAUGCUUUCGCAAAAGGCUAGCAUCUACAUUUUGAGACAGAUACAGGGUUUCCCGGAUACUCCCGUAAAGCCCAGCUCAUUGGCUAUCUAGCUAGCUUUGCUUGACCCCGAUUGGUGCUUAUUUGACAAAGAUACAGUCGAUCAAAUGAAGACCGGCCGUGUCAUCGGCGUGCCAUGAAGGCGUCGCUCCCUGACCAAAUUUGGUGUCCUAUAGGAUAUACUCCACCCCUAAUGAUAUAGUGAAGUCUGGUUAUGUUCUAGGAUCUCUGAGGAAUACAUAUGAACGUGAUCUGACUGGUUGAAACAAGGUUUAGGGUUAGAUUUUCACAGAUUCCUUUCUUUGCAAAUUUAACGAGUGGAAAUACAAAAUCGAUUGUGCAUGCUAUAUGGACAUUUUUACGAUAUGAUAAAUGAUUUUAUCUAACAAAACAACACUUCAUGUUAUCUCUGGGACCCUUUGGAUGAUAAAUCAGAGCAAGAUUUCAGAAUAUAAGUACACAUUUCACCUUCAGA